UCUGAAUCCACUAGAGAUAGUGGCGGCCUUCGGGACAGAGGAGACAGGUGGUGCAUGGUUGUCGUCAGCUCGUGUCGUGAGAUGUUGGGUUAAGUCCCGCAACGAGCGCAACCCUUAACUUUAGUUGCCAGCAAGUAAUGUUGGGCACUCUAGAGUGACUGCCGGUGACAAACCGGAGGAAGGUGGGGAUGACGUCAAAUCAUCAUGCCCCUUAUGACCUGGGCUACACACGUGCUACAAUGGGCAGAACAAAGGGCAGCGAAGCCGCGAGGCUAAGCCAAUCCCACAAAUCUGUUCUCAGUUCGGAUCGCAGUCUGCAACUCGACUGCGUGAAGCUGGAAUCGCUAGUAAUCGCGGAUCAGCAUGCCGCGGUGAAUACGUUCCCGGGCCUUGUACACACCGCCCGUCACACCACGAGAGUUUGUAACACCCGAAGUCGGUGAGGUAACCUUUUGGAGCCAGCCGCCGAAGGUGGGACAGAUGAUUGGGGUGAAGUCGUAACAAGGUAGCCGUAUCGGAAGGUGCGGCUGGAUCACCUCCUUU
This 543-nucleotide ribosomal RNA is filed under the name Salmonella enterica subsp. enterica serovar Kentucky. Its description in RNAcentral is "bacterial SSU rRNA". It matches the Rfam family "Bacterial small subunit ribosomal RNA", at positions 991 to 1533 of the family's 1533-position model. The record is from RNAcentral. Lineage: Bacteria; Pseudomonadati; Pseudomonadota; Gammaproteobacteria; Enterobacterales; Enterobacteriaceae.